RNAcentral lists this ribosomal RNA (455 nucleotides) under Oleiphilus sp. HI0066. Its description in RNAcentral is "Bacterial large subunit ribosomal RNA". It matches the Rfam family "Bacterial large subunit ribosomal RNA", at positions 1022 to 1483 of the family's 2925-position model. Lineage: Bacteria; Pseudomonadati; Pseudomonadota; Gammaproteobacteria; Oceanospirillales; Oleiphilaceae. The record is from Rfam by way of RNAcentral.
ACAACCCAGACCGCCAGCUAAGGUCCCAAAUUCAUAGUUAAGUGGGAAACGAUGUGGGAAGGCUUAGACAGCUAGGAGGUUGGCUUAGAAGCAGCCACCCUUUAAAGAAAGCGUAAUAGCUCACUAGUCGAGUCGGCCUGCGCGGAAGAUUUAACGGGGCUCAAACUAUGAACCGAAGCUGCGGAUAUAGAUUUAUCUAUAUGGUAGAGGAGCGUUCUGUACGCUGUUGAAGGUGAAUCGAGAGGUUUGCUGGAGGUAUCAGAAGUGCGAAUGCUGACAUGAGUAACGAUAAGGGGGGUGAAAAACCUCCCCGCCGGAAGACCAAGGGUUCCUGCGCAACGCUAAUCGGCGCAGGGUGAGUCGGCCCCUAAGGCGAGGCUGAGAAGCGUAGUCGAUGGGAAACAGGUUAAUAUUCCUGUACUUCUUUAUAUUGCGAUGGAGAGACGGAGAAAGCU